AUUGAACGCUGGCGGCGUGCCUAGCACAUGCAAGUCGAGCGGUAACAGGUGUAGCAAUACAUGCUGACGAGCGGCGGACGGGUGAGUAACGCUUGGGAAUCUGCCUAUUAGUGGGGGACAACCCGGGAAACUCGGGCUAAUACCGCAUACGCUCUACGGAGGAAAGCCGGGGACCGCAAGGCCUGGCGCUAAUAGAUGAGCCCAAGUCGGAUUAGCUAGUUGGUAGGGUAAGGCCUACCAAGGCGACGAUCCGUAACUGGUCUGAGAGGACGACCAGUCACACCGGAACUGAGACACGGUCCGGACUCCUACGGGAGGCAGCAGUGGGGAAUAUUGGACAAUGGCGAAAGCCUGAUCCAGCGACGCCGCGUGGGUGAAGAAGGCCUGCGGGUUUGUAAAGCCCCUUUCAGUGGGGAAGAAAAGCCCUCGACCUAACACGUCGGGGUCUUGACGUAACCCAUAGAAGAAGCACCGG
Molecule: ribosomal RNA, 475 nt
Filed under: uncultured bacterium
Lineage: Bacteria
Description: bacterial SSU rRNA
Rfam family: Bacterial small subunit ribosomal RNA
Source: RNAcentral